GUUUCACAUGGAGACAUCAGCCGUCAAGAGUGAAAUUUUGACUCUGCAAAGCGACCUCCAAAUCAAUCGAGGGCAUCGGGAGAACACUUUUGGAACCUUAUCGUGGAGGAAAAAUAUCCAAACAUGAGAAAAGUUGGCAUGUACUUGACAGAAUGUUUUGGAUCUACCUACAUUUGCGAGUCAGCAUUUUCAGACAUGAUCAAAAUACCGGUCCACUCUAACAGAUGACGCUGGACACCUGUUUGAGGCAAGCAAUCAGUAGCUACAUCCCAGACCAUGCUGAGCUUGCUGACAGCAUGCAGUGCAAAUCAUCCAAUCAAUAAGGAGAAGGAGAAGUAGAGGAGGAGUACUUGGAGGAUUUCUCAAGGGGCUGAGUCUACAGCACUAGGGGUGUCACCUGGGGCCUACUUCAAUGUUUGCAGCAGCAGGAUCCCUCACCUGUGCAGAUUUGUCUGUCUAAUCUGGUGUGGCUGUCUUGUAACCCAUAACCCAUGCAGAGUACAAUGGCCAGGAGAUUACCAUUGAAUAGAAAC
This 533-nucleotide long non-coding RNA is filed under the name Salmo salar (Atlantic salmon). RNAcentral describes it as "lncRNA (ENSSSAG00000084804.1)". Lineage: Eukaryota; Metazoa; Chordata; Actinopteri; Salmoniformes; Salmonidae. The record is from RNAcentral.